CAAAAGUUCCUCCUCCGGUAUGUAUAUUUUAGUUAACCACAGACAGAUUAUUUGAAUCAUAUGGAAUAGUCAUGCUUCCAGAAUAGAAACCCAUAAUAUACCUAGCCAAAGGAUUUUACAUUGUUUAAUGCUAAUUUGGUCCCUGCAACUUUGAGGAAGGCUUCAAGCAUUCCAAAUUACUUUUAUUAAAUUACUCUUCACAGUAAAAUCGUUCGGUAUAUUAGCUUAAAUCCAACCUGCAGAUGAUAAUCAUGCAGCUGAAAUUGAAGAGGAAGAUGAAAUUGAAGAAAUGAAGAACUUGCUAUUUUAGUAGUAGCCGUUAGUCUUUAAAUUGUAACGGCUAGUUUACUUUCUGUUUUUAGCAAGUAUCACAGCUGGUAUUCCUAUCCUUUGGAAUCGUAAUAUGUCCCUGGAUCCAUUCCCAAGUGGAAGGAUUGUAGCCUCCGACGGCCUAAAAUUUAAGCAUUGUUUAUCAAUAUGUCUCCCGUAUUAAAACUCCAUAUUUAGUCAUACACCACAAAUGCCUUGUAAUGGAAAUGUUAUAUAUUUUGCUAUGAGUAGCAAUCACAUGGACACACACACUUAUGUGUACCUUCUUA
Non-coding RNA from Malus domestica (apple), 599 nucleotides. The record is from RefSeq and is a predicted model, not a curated record. Lineage: Eukaryota; Viridiplantae; Streptophyta; Magnoliopsida; Rosales; Rosaceae.